This 337-nucleotide unclassified non-coding RNA is filed under the name soil metagenome. RNAcentral describes it as "partial contains 5.8S ribosomal RNA, internal transcribed spacer 2, and large subunit ribosomal RNA". The stretch from base 1 to 120 matches the Rfam family "5.8S ribosomal RNA", at positions 35 to 154 of the family's 154-position model. The record is from RNAcentral.
GAUGAAGAACGUAGCGAAAUGCGAUAAGUAGUGUGAAUUGCAGAAUUCAGUGAAUCAUCGAAUCUUUGAACGCACAUUGCGCCCCUUGGUAUUCUAUGGGGCAUGCCUGUUCGAGCGUCAUUUGUACCUUCAAGCUCUGCUUGGUGUUGGGUGUUUGUCUCGCCUCUGCGUGUAGACUCGCCUCAAAACAAUUGGCAGCCGGCGUAUUGAUUUCGGAGCGCAGUACAUCUCGCGCUUUGCACUCAUAACGACGACGUCCAAAAGUACAUUUUUACACUCUUGACCUCGGAUCAGGUAGGGAUACCCGCUGAACUUAAGCAUAUCAAUAAGCGGAGGA